This is a long non-coding RNA of Chiloscyllium plagiosum (whitespotted bambooshark), 2058 nucleotides long. RefSeq lists it as uncharacterized. The record is from RefSeq and is a predicted model, not a curated record. NCBI's taxonomy places the organism in Eukaryota, Metazoa, Chordata, Chondrichthyes, Orectolobiformes, Hemiscylliidae.
GGCUCCGGCGGAGCGGCAGGAGACGGGGAUUGAGGCUGUGAGACCAGACAAGCCCGAGUGACUCCGGAACCGCCUUCACGAUACAGCAUGGCCUGCUAUGGAUUUCCAGGAAUCAGAACAUCACAGGAAUGAACUCAAGAUCUAUUUUGUCCUCCCACUCAUCUGCUGAUUUCUUGCUCUUUUCCACGACAUUUGCUUGAUCGCUGCCUCUUUUGACUAUGGAGCCUCCUUAAAUUUAUCAUUGAUUUCCUAAAAAGAAAACGUGGCAUGAUUUUAACAUUUCUACUUCCUCCCUGUUUAUCACGCUCUUUUUGAAGUAUUUGUAUGAGUAUUCACUGUAUUUUCUCUGCAUUUUUAAAAACUUUCUUGUUAACAUUCAGAAAAAAGCCCAUCUUUAAAACUUAAAAUUAUAAAGUUGCAACAGCAAUUCAGACUACAGAGGUGAACUUAGAAUUGCUUAUCUACAUGCUACUGGUGUGGUUUCUCUUCUAUAGCCUAUGAAGUGAUGGGAACCAAUUUCCAAAUAGCUUUAGUUCACUGUGCACUACAUAUCCCAAUGGCAACUAACAUGAAAAACAGUGAAUAAACCUCAUCAUUGUUGUGUUGUUUCCAGCCUGGAAGCAUACAACAUUUUCUUGGCACUUACGGUGUGGUUGUACAUUUUUUUUGGGAGAGACACAAUGUGAAAAGAUUACUUCUGCUGCUAGACUUCUUUUUGAUAAAAUGAGAAUCCCUGUAACUGGAUUUUCUCAGAACAAACAUGCUUGCAGUUCUUCUGAAUGCUGCCAGCACAAAUAGCUCAGCACCAGUGAGUUUGGCACAUUAACACUGUGAAUCUACAGAAGGGCUGGUUCAGCGAUUACCACACAGGACCUCUUCACAAGAUAGCAGUUUGGAAUUCUUUAUUAGAGGUUCUGCUGAUGGACAACUGAGCUACAUGCCUGGAAGUUGAAUACAUUUUAAGUGAGAGAGAGUUAUCAGGAAAGCUAGCUUGUUGCCAACAAUAAGAAGAUUAAAAAUUCAGUAAUAAAAAGUCCAUGGAAUGUCUUGCAAGAGCUACUCGAAUGACCCAAUUAUAUGCAUUCACAAUUUCAGCAGGGAUAUCCCCUGCCAGGAUUGCUAAGGGAGUAUAUGACACAUUACCACCUUACAAUGACACAGUCCAUCUAGGAUCUUCCAGUGCAUCAUUUGACUGGUGAUAUCUCCCUGCCAUGGAACCAUAGAAUCAUACAACAUAGCAGGAGGUCAUUCGGUCCAUCUUGCCUGUGCCAACUCUUUGAAACAGUUUUCUAAUUAGUCCCCAUCCCUUGCAAGCAUUUCUUUAUCAAAUGUAUGUCCAAUUUACUUCUGAAUAUUAGCAUUGAAUGUCUUUCCACCACUCCUGUCAGAAAGUGCAUUUCAGACCACACAAGGUGAUAUACUGACUGGGGGUGCACUAUAUACCUUAUAUCAGACUGUGUGCUGUCAAUGUCAAGACAAAGACAGCUACUGGCUGCCUGUGUAUGUGUAGUUAGCAGCAAUGACAUUACAGCACUGCAACAGAGCCUUCUGUUUGGCUUUCCGAAGUAUCCUUGCCUCGCUGUUGUGGUAGCCAAACUCUGCCCACUCCGUCUCUUGCCCGCUGUGGGUGUACCAGUCCCUCCCCUGGCAAUGCAGGCAGCAUCCCUCAGAGUCAACUCAUAUUACCACCAUCCACCACCACGGAAAGGAACUGCGGCCUGCAGUCCCUUUUCCAACUACUAAAUUCAAGUUCACAGUUAAAACACACAACACGAUGAAAGGAUGAAAAGUUACAUUCCUACUAAACAAAGACAAAGUAAAUCAGAUAUAAUUCAGCAGACUAUGCGCCAGUUCUUCAGCUACGCACAAGUAGAGAAAGUUGAGGUAGUAAUGAUGUACUGAAAUAUUCGGUAAUUAUGCUUUGUAAAUGUAAUUGGCAUGAGCAGGGAAAGAGAAUUCUACUCACUAUUGAUUUUUAUUGCCUACUCCAAACACUAAUAUGCUGGGUGUGAUAACAUGAUUGAGCAUGUUGCUACACAGGUUAGUUACUUGCUAUGU